AACGAACGCUGGCGGCAGGCUUAACACAUGCAAGUCGAACGCCCCGCCAGGGGAGUGGCCGACGGGUGAGUAACGCGUGGGAACAUACCCUUUCCUGCGGAAUAGCUCCGGGAAACUGGAAUUAAUACCGCAUACGCCCUACGGGGGAAAGAUUUAUCGGGGAAGGAUUGGCCCGCGUUGGAUUAGCUAGUUGGUGGGGUAAAGGCCUACCAAGGCGACGAUCCAUAGCUGGUCUGAGAGGAUGAUCAGCCACAUUGGGACUGAGACACGGCCCAAACUCCUACGGGAGGCAGCAGUGGGGAAUAUUGGACAAUGGGCGCAAGCCUGAUCCAGCCAUGCCGCGUGAGUGAUGAAGGCCUUAGGGUUGUAAAGCUCUUUCACCGAUGAAGAUAAUGACGGUAGUCGGAGGAGAAGCCCCGGCUAACUUCGU
This 430-nucleotide ribosomal RNA is filed under the name uncultured bacterium. RNAcentral's name for it is "partial 16S ribosomal RNA". It matches the Rfam family "Bacterial small subunit ribosomal RNA", at positions 29 to 506 of the family's 1533-position model. The record is from RNAcentral.